UAGGGAAUAUUAGUAAUGGGCGAAAGCCUGAACCAGCAACGCCGCGUGCGCGAUGAAGGCCUUCGGGUUGUAAAGCGCUUUUUGAGAGGAUGAGGAAGGACAGUACUCUUAGAAUAAGCCUCGGCUAACUACGUGCCAGCAGCCGCGGUAAAACGUAGGAGGCGAGCGUUAUCCGGAUUUACUGGGCGUAAAGCGUGUGUAGGCGGUUUGAUAAGUUGGAUGUGAAAGCUCCUGGCUUAACUGGGAGAGGUCGUUCAAAACUAUCAGACUUGAGAGUGGUAGAGGGAGGUGGAAUUCCGCAUGUAGUGGUGAAAUGCGUAGAUAUGCGGAGGAACACCAGUGGCGAAAGCGGCCUCCUGGCCCAUUUCUGACGCUCAGACACGAAAGCUAAGGUAGCAAACG
RNAcentral lists this ribosomal RNA (402 nucleotides) under uncultured prokaryote. RNAcentral describes it as "bacterial SSU rRNA". It matches the Rfam family "Bacterial small subunit ribosomal RNA", at positions 355 to 774 of the family's 1533-position model. The record is from RNAcentral.